AGAGCUGAGGGAAACUUGAUUGAAGAAAAUAACCUUUUAGUGAACGCAGGAAUUUGUCAUCCGGCAGAAGCAGAUUGCGUUGAAGAAGCGGCAGUGGCAUGAGGCAAAUGGGUCACAGCAGCCAGACUGGGGCAAACAACUUUGUGUAAACUGAGAGCAGUUUGGCUUCACAGGUUUGGGUGCCACGUUAGAAGGAGGGCGAAGGUCAUUUGGAGGAACCAGGACCUCUUUGGACUUAAGGAAGAUGGAGAGAGCAGAAAUUGGGAGACAUGGUAGAUGAAUGUUGGAUCAUUAAAAGUGUUACAGUAAUAUUCCCCAUCCUUCUUAUUUUGAUGUCUAAAAAGGCUCAGAGCUGAAACACCAACACAAUGAAGUUGGGGAUUUUUGUGCACAAGACUUUGUUAUGAUGUAUCAGAUGUCUUUUGUGCGAAUUGUACCUGAACCUUUUUACGUUCUUUUGAUUCAUUCUAAAGUGCAGUGUCUAGAUAUGACAAAAGCAAGGUAGAUAAUGUACUGUUAAGCAGAAAUGCUUACUGUUAAAAAAGACUUCUAUGCUCAACUGGAGUGAAAUAAAAAAACCACACAUCUUACCGGCA
Micropterus dolomieu (smallmouth bass) is the source of this 596-nucleotide long non-coding RNA. RefSeq lists it as uncharacterized. The record is from RefSeq and is a predicted model, not a curated record. Lineage: Eukaryota; Metazoa; Chordata; Actinopteri; Centrarchiformes; Centrarchidae. The transcript has 2 exons.